This 253-nucleotide ribosomal RNA is filed under the name uncultured bacterium. RNAcentral's name for it is "partial 16S ribosomal RNA". It matches the Rfam family "Bacterial small subunit ribosomal RNA", at positions 524 to 776 of the family's 1533-position model. The record is from RNAcentral.
UACGGAGGGAGCUAGCGUUAUUCGGAAUUAUUGGGCGUAAAGAGCGUGUAGGCGGCCCGAUUAGUCCGCUGUGAAGGUCCAGGGCUCAACCCUGGAAUGCCGGUGGAUACUGUCGGGCUAGAGUCCGGAAGGGGCGAGUGGAAUUCCUGGUGUAGCAGUGAAAUGCGUAGAGAUGUGGAGGAACACCGAUGGCGAAGGCAGCCCCCUGGGACGGUACUGACGCUGAGACGCGAAAGCGUGGGGAGCGAACAGG